Gossypium hirsutum (cotton) is the source of this 89-nucleotide non-coding RNA. Lineage: Eukaryota; Viridiplantae; Streptophyta; Magnoliopsida; Malvales; Malvaceae. The record is from Rfam.
CACGUCAGCGCGAUUUGCUGACGUGGCAGCAAAUUGCAUCCUAGAGGGCGCGAUUUCCUGGCGCGUCCCCUGACAUCGCGCUGACGUGG